RNAcentral lists this transfer RNA (74 nucleotides) under Anomaloglossus baeobatrachus. RNAcentral describes it as "tRNA-Thr". It matches the Rfam family "tRNA". From Rfam's summary of the family: Transfer RNA (tRNA) molecules are approximately 80 nucleotides in length. Their secondary structure includes four short double-helical elements and three loops (D, anti-codon, and T loops). The record is from RNAcentral. Lineage: Eukaryota; Metazoa; Chordata; Amphibia; Anura; Aromobatidae.
GCCCUAAUAGCUUAACUUUUAAAGCAUUGGUCUUGUAAACCAAAGAUUGAAAACUCAAAAAUUUUCUUAGAGCU